This is a non-coding RNA of Halocaridina rubra (Hawaiian volcano shrimp), 85 nucleotides long. Lineage: Eukaryota; Metazoa; Arthropoda; Malacostraca; Decapoda; Atyidae. The record is from the annotation of a GenBank genome assembly.
ACCCCGACCGGGACUCGAACCUGGUGUAGUGGUAGCGCCUUGAAUUAGUAAUCAUAAGUCCUAGGUUCAAGUCCCGGUCGGGGUA